Molecule: ribosomal RNA, 717 nt
Filed under: uncultured bacterium
Lineage: Bacteria
Description: bacterial SSU rRNA
Rfam family: Bacterial small subunit ribosomal RNA
Source: RNAcentral
GGAUAACACCUGGAAACAGAUGCUAAUACCGGAUAACAACACUAGACGCAUGUCUAGAGUUUGAAAGAUGGUUCUGCUAUCACUCUUGGAUGGACCUGCGGUGCAUUAGCUAGUUGGUAAGGUAACGGCUUACCAAGGCAAUGAUGCAUAGCCGAGUUGAGAGACUGAUCGGCCACAUUGGGACUGAGACACGGCCCAAACUCCUACGGGAGGCAGCAGUAGGGAAUCUUCCACAAUGGACGAAAGUCUGAUGGAGCAACGCCGCGUGAGUGAAGAAGGGUUUCGGCUCGUAAAGCUCUGUUGGUAGUGAAGAAAGAUAGAGGUAGUAACUGGCCUUUAUUUGACGGUAAUUACUUAGAAAGUCACGGCUAACUACGUGCCAGCAGCCGCGGUAAUACGUAGGUGGCAAGCGUUGUCCGGAUUUAUUGGGCGUAAAGCGAGUGCAGGCGGUUCAAUAAGUCUGAUGUGAAAGCCUUCGGCUCAACCGGAGAAUUGCAUCAGAAACUGUUGAACUUGAGUGCAGAAGAGGAGAGUGGAACUCCAUGUGUAGCGGUGGAAUGCGUAGAUAUAUGGAAGAACACCAGUGGCGAAGGCGGCUCUCUGGUCUGCAACUGACGCUGAGGCUCGAAAGCAUGGGUAGCGAACAGGAUUAGAUACCCUGGUAGUCCAUGCCGUAAACGAUGAGUGCUAAGUGUUGGGAGGUUUCCGCCUCUCAGU